AAUAAAGUAAGCUAAAAUUUAAGCUAGUGGGUUCAUACCCCAAAUAUGAUUUUUUAUAUCCUUUAUUA
RNAcentral lists this transfer RNA (68 nucleotides) under Dermacentor auratus. RNAcentral describes it as "tRNA-Met". The record is from RNAcentral. Lineage: Eukaryota; Metazoa; Arthropoda; Arachnida; Ixodida; Ixodidae.